UUAUGGUUUGCAACCAGUUUUAGCCAAUCUGUUUGUGUUGCCACUCCAACUCAGGGAAAGCGUUUCAAAUUUAUGUGGAAUAUCCCAUCUACAAUAUGACCAACUUGUACAUGAAGACAAACAAGCAUAGUUUACCUUCACAAUAAUCCUAGGAGAGUUUGAAUGGACUGCCUUAAUAUUGGAUGAGUUCCCCCUUUGUGGAGGUCUUCAAGCACAAGAUGGACAACCAUUUGUCAGGCAUGUUAUAAUGGAGAUUCUUGUUCAGGUCUCAUAGCAGGCACAAGUCAUCCCAAUUCUCCUUAUCAUCUACCCAGUAGUAUGGAAUGCAAAUAGAAAUGGGGAUCACUAAACAAUACAUAAAGAUCCUUUAAGGAGCACAUUGAGGGUGUGGAGGCCCAAUAGCACCAAGAGAGAGAACAUUUCUGGAUGUGUGCACUGGAGGGGCCAAACCAAGAUUCAAGAAAAAAAAUUUUUUAAUUUAAACUUCGGUUAAAUUCAGAACCAGAUAUGUCCAAAAACAAGUGAGAUAAAGGGCGAGGCACAUACGUGACUGUGAAGUGAAUUGAAGAGAAAAGUAGCUCAAGCUUUGCAGGAGGUCCACAGAGA
This 606-nucleotide long non-coding RNA is filed under the name Monodelphis domestica (gray short-tailed opossum). Its description in RNAcentral is "lncRNA (ENSMODG00000047341.1)". The record is from RNAcentral. Lineage: Eukaryota; Metazoa; Chordata; Mammalia; Didelphimorphia; Didelphidae.